RNAcentral lists this ribosomal RNA (500 nucleotides) under uncultured bacterium. Its description in RNAcentral is "partial 16S ribosomal RNA". It matches the Rfam family "Bacterial small subunit ribosomal RNA", at positions 29 to 523 of the family's 1533-position model. The record is from RNAcentral.
AUUGAACGCUGGCGGCAUGCCUUACACAUGCAAGUCGAACGGCAGCACGGGAGCAAUCCUGGUGGCGAGUGGCGAACGGGUGAGUAAAGUAUCGGAACGUGCCCAGUCGUGGGGGAUAACGUAGCGAAAGUUACGCUAAUACCGCAUACGAUCUACGGAUGAAAGCGGGGGAUCGCAAGACCUCGCGCGAUUGGAGCGGCCGAUAGCAGAUUAGGUAGUUGGUGGGGUAAAGGCUCACCAAGCCGACGAUCUGUAGCUGGUCUGAGAGGACGACCGGCCACACUGGGACUGGGGCACGGCCAAGCGUCCUACGGGAGGCAGCGGUGGGGAAUUUUGGACAAUGGGCGAAAGCCUGGUCCAGCCAUGCCGAGUGCAGGAUGAAGGCCUUCGGGUUGUAAACUGAUUUUGUACGGAACGAAAAGGUUUGGCCUAAUAAGCUGAGCUCAUGACGGUACCGAAAGAAUAAGCACCGGCUAACUACGUGCCAGCAGCCGCCGUAA